UCCGUAGGGGGCGAUCGUUGUCCGGAUUUACUGGGCGUAAAGCGCGUGUAGGCGGUGCCUUAAGUCCGGGGUGAAAGGCGGAGGCUUAACCGCCGAGGUGCGUCGGAAACUGGGAGUCUUGAGUGUCGGAGAGGGGCGUGGAAUUCCAGGUGUAGCGGUGAAAUGCGUAGAGAUCUGGAGGAACACCGGUGGCGAAGGCGGCGACCUGGCCGAAAAUUGACGCUGAGACGCGAAAGCGCGGGGAGAGAACGGG
Molecule: ribosomal RNA, 253 nt
Filed under: uncultured bacterium
Lineage: Bacteria
Description: partial 16S ribosomal RNA
Rfam family: Bacterial small subunit ribosomal RNA
Source: RNAcentral